GACGAACGCUGGCGGCGCGCCUAACACAUGCAAGUCGAACGGAGCUGAGAGAAGCUUGCUUUUCUUAGCUUAGUGGCGAACGGGUGAGUAACGCGUGAGUAACCUGCCCUGGAGUGGGGGACAACAGUUGGAAACGACUGAUAAUACCGCAUAAGCCCACGAUCCGGCAUCGGAUUGAGGGAAAAGGAUUUAUUCGCUUCAGGAUGGACUCGCGUCCAAUUAGCUAGUUGGUGAGGUAACGGCCCACCAAGGCGACGAUUGGUAGCCGGACUGAGAGGUUGAACGGCCACAUUGGGACUGAGACACGGCCCAGACUCCUACGGGAGGCAGCAGUGGGGGAUAUUGCACAAUGGGGGAAACCCUGAUGCAGCGACGCCGCGUGGAGGAAGAAGGUUUUCGGAUUGUAAACUCCUGUCGUUAGGGACGAUAAUGACGGUACCUAACAAGAAAGCACCGGCUAACUACGUG
This 468-nucleotide ribosomal RNA is filed under the name uncultured bacterium. RNAcentral's name for it is "partial 16S ribosomal RNA". It matches the Rfam family "Bacterial small subunit ribosomal RNA", at positions 28 to 507 of the family's 1533-position model. The record is from RNAcentral.